Molecule: unclassified non-coding RNA, 344 nt
Filed under: uncultured fungus
Lineage: Eukaryota; Fungi
Description: partial contains small subunit ribosomal RNA, internal transcribed spacer 1, and 5.8S ribosomal RNA
Rfam family: Eukaryotic small subunit ribosomal RNA (bases 1-134)
Source: RNAcentral
ACAAACUUGGUCAUUUAGAGGAAGUAAAAGUCGUAACAAGGUCUCCGUAGGUGAGUAUUCAUCCAACCCAUCUUCAAUUUACUGUCGAAAUCACACUAACACUGCUUUUAGGUGAACCUGCGGAGGGAUCAUUACCGAGUAAGGGCCUUCAGGCUCGACCUCCAACCCUUUGUUGAUCGAACACCUGUUGCCUUGGGGACGGUCCGGACCCGGCUUUGGCGUCGGGCCGUCGGCGUCCCCGGGGGAUAACUCAAACUCUGUAUCCUUGCGUCGGAGUCUAAAGCAAAUGAAUGAAAACUUUCAACAACGGAUCUCUUGGUUCUGGCAUCGAUGAAGAACGCAGC